UGGUAAAGAUAUGGUGGAGCAUACGCUCAUUGGUGAAUGGUACUCUCAGAUGGAACUGGCACUGGGAGAGCCUACCAGAGUUUAAGGCGUGAAACAGUAUGAAGAUUUUAUUGCUUGAUUCAAAAUUGAAAUGUGAUACACCUUGAGGUAUGUGGAAUUUUAAUUAGAUGGACCACCCAUCAAAUUUUCAUCAAGUAAAUUACAUAAAGAAUUGAUUUUUGACUAGGUAAAGGAACUGCUGAUCUCAAGAUUCAAGCCUAGUUAUGUUUCAUGGUUGAGAAUAAUUUUAUGAUUCUUGAACACUGAUCUUGCUGGUUCUUUUCAUCUGGUUUUAUCUAUUGUGAUUCUUUUCCCUCUCUUUAUUUUGGAGUAAAAAAAUGUGUAAUUUUGAUGUAGGAGUGUUUAUACCUAGACUAGGAAACAAUGAAACAACAUGGGCAAAUUAUCCAUGCACAUCGUUAUGCAUAUGCUGAAAGUGGUAGAUUGUAAUGUUGCUAACCUUAUAGGUUUUAUACCAUGCAGUUGGAUGGGUUUGCUAAGCACUAUCCAGUUUACGGUCAAAUCAGUUUAAUUCAGAAUUGAAAGUUUAGGUAACAAAUGCCUAUUCCAGUAUAUUGGCACAGAAGUCCCGUCCCUAAGGAACAAUACUAUGUUCAUGUUGGAUUAAGAUUGAAAAUUUGGUCAUGCUAAAGUUGAGAACUAGUUCAAAAGAUGCCGUUAGAAAAUUGAGAAACAGGGACAACACAUCAUAAAUUGCGAGGACAUUGGGGUUCGUUUAUUUAAAAUUAUUUUUUAAGAAUUUUUUAUUAUAUUAAUUGUAAUGAUGAAUUAAUUAUA
Molecule: unclassified non-coding RNA, 837 nt
Filed under: Hevea brasiliensis (rubber tree)
Lineage: Eukaryota; Viridiplantae; Streptophyta; Magnoliopsida; Malpighiales; Euphorbiaceae
Source: RNAcentral